AACGAACGCUGGCGGCGUGCCUAACACAUGCAAGUCGAACGAGACCUUCGGGUCUAGUGGCGCACGGGUGCGUAACGCGUGGGAACCUGCCCUUAGGUUCGGAAUAACUCCCCGAAAGGGGUGCUAAUACCGGAUAAUGUCUUCGGACCAAAGAUUUAUCGCCUUUGGAUGGGCCCGCGUUGGAUUAGCUAGUUGGUAGGGUAAAAGCCUACCAAGGCGACGAUCCAUAGCUGGUCUGAGAGGAUGAUCAGCCACACUGGGACUGAGACACGGCCCAGACUCCUACGGGAGGCAGCAGUGGGGAAUAUUGGACAAUGGGCGAAAGCCUGAUCCAGCAGUGCCGCGUGAGUGAUGAAGGCCUUAGGGUUGUAAAGCUCUUUUACCCGGGAUGAUAAUGACAGUACCGGGAGAAUAAGCGCCGGCUAACUCCGUG
RNAcentral lists this ribosomal RNA (433 nucleotides) under uncultured bacterium. Its description in RNAcentral is "partial 16S ribosomal RNA". It matches the Rfam family "Bacterial small subunit ribosomal RNA", at positions 29 to 507 of the family's 1533-position model. The record is from RNAcentral.